UUUUGGUGCGGCCAACCGACAUGGGGCUGUCUCUUCACUCUCCCUCCUGUCAUUUAAUUUGUCGGGGCUGGGAUGCUUGUGAUCGGUUGNNUGUGGAGCACUACCCUGUUGUGGGUAGCGAACUUGUCCCUCGAUUGAUAUGUGCUUGCCUUUCUGACAUUUUAUGUCGUUUGGGCAGCCGAAAUGAUGGCGAGAUCCUUGUGUAGGUGCGUGGUCGAAUGGCCUUGUUGCUAUCGCUUGGAUCUUUGCCGUCUCUCACGGAUGCAGUGCUUAGUGCUAGCUCUGUGUGACUUUACUCCGCAGACUUCGGGAGGUCCCUUGUACGAAUCGUUGUGAUCAGAUGCCGUUUGUCGUGUUGCUUGUUUGGCACGCAAAUCGUAUUGUUCUGUCCGGAGUCGGGAUGAUGAGAGUCAGAAUGGAGUCUCNGUGGCGUGAUNGCCNCUUAGNGAUGCCNCNCCGAUNGGUGGCGNCNCNNNNNNCNCNNNNUGCGGAGGCCCGCCUGUGUGGGUUGGUGCCGNAGNAGACGCGUCGGCGCUC
RNAcentral lists this unclassified non-coding RNA (537 nucleotides) under Carex appressa var. virgata. RNAcentral's name for it is "partial external transcribed spacer 1f". The record is from RNAcentral. Lineage: Eukaryota; Viridiplantae; Streptophyta; Magnoliopsida; Poales; Cyperaceae.